GUACCCCAAACCGACACAGGUGGUCGGGUAGAGAAUACCAAGGCGCUUGAGAGAACUCGGGUGAAGGAACUAGGCAAAAUGGUACCGUAACUUCGGGAGAAGGUACGCUCUCGACGGUGAAGUCCCUUGCGGAUGGAGCUAUUGAGAGUCGCAGAUACCAGGUGGCUGCAACUGUUUAUUAAAAACACAGCACUGUGCAAAAUCGUAAGAUGACGUAUACGGUGUGACGCCUGCCCGGUGCC
This 242-nucleotide ribosomal RNA is filed under the name Vibrio parahaemolyticus. RNAcentral describes it as "partial 23S ribosomal RNA". It matches the Rfam family "Bacterial large subunit ribosomal RNA", at positions 1644 to 1870 of the family's 2925-position model. Lineage: Bacteria; Pseudomonadati; Pseudomonadota; Gammaproteobacteria; Vibrionales; Vibrionaceae. The record is from RNAcentral.